RNAcentral lists this long non-coding RNA (1100 nucleotides) under Marmota monax (woodchuck). The record is from RNAcentral. Lineage: Eukaryota; Metazoa; Chordata; Mammalia; Rodentia; Sciuridae.
AUCAGAGUUAAAUAACUGAUAAUUUAGUUUUUAAAAAAAUCCAACAUGGAGAUUUUCAAGUUAUUUCUUUAUUUAAAUGAGCUCCGGACAAGAAGCUAGGGAGCACUAUUUUCUUCUAAACCACACACACACACACACACACACACACACACACAACCUUUGUUUUAGGUUAAAAACCUGAGUGUGCUGGUAACAGUUGGCAUCUUUCAGAUAUGAAGCUUCAUGUAUUACCUUUUAUGAGCUCAUCCCCAAAACAAUUCUUGGUAUACCCGAGGGAAGGACCAGUUCGGAUCCCAUUGGAAGCAAGAGAACAUCAGUAUGCUUUAAAAAUGCAUUCUAUUCCCAAUGAAUAUCUUUAAAAUAUUAUCACACUCCAUAUAUAUAUAUAUAUAUAUAUAUAUAUAUAUAUAUAUAUAUAUAUGCCUAGGCUUGGAGAAUAUUAUCAACAGAAAAUCUCUACGUGAGAUGAGAUGGCAAUUCUAUUUAGUUGGCAAUAUUUACUUAAAUAAUUCUGCAUUCAAUAGUUCAUAACAUUUCAAACUUAAGUUUUUAAAAAAUUGAAAUCCAUAUGCCCAACUCUAAAAAAAAUAGCUAGUUUUUCAUAACUGUGUUUUUAUAAGUAGUACACCUUGUUCCUCAUUUAGUGGGAACAUCACUAAUUUGAACCAAAAUAUAGCAGGAAAUAUUUGUAACUAAAUUUUUUUAAACUUUGCCCUUUAAAACAAUUUCCCCUCUGUUUCUUUCUUUGAAAAUUAGAUCCUUAAUCUUUCUCUAGGAAUGUAGUAAUGUAUUUUGAUAUGUUGCUCUGCCACAACAGGUAAUUAAACAAAAUACUAAAACAUUAGAUAAAUAUAUAUUCUUCAUGUAAAUCAGUUAUCAUUUACUAUUCUAGGGUCAAUUCUUUUAUCACUAAUGUGAAAAUAAAGAUGAUUUCAAUAUUUGAGAAGUUUGAAACAAAAUUUUCCCUGUUCUCUGUCUACAGUGUCACUGUUUUACCUUAGAAAUCAAUGCUUAUCUUAUAAAAUGAAAGAUAUUUGAAGACAUGAGAAAUGUUUGCGCUGCAUAGAAAUGCAUUUUAUGAGGACAUAAGCAUAAAUCAA